GAAAUGCGAUAAGUAAUGUGAAUUGCAGAAUUCAGUGAAUCAUCGAAUCUUUGAACGCAUAUUGCGCCCGCCAGUAUUCUGGCGGGCAUGCCUGUCCGAGCGUCAUUUCGACCAUCAAGCCCCCGGGCUUGUGUUGGGGACCUGCGGCUGCCCGCAGGCCCUGAAAACCAGUGGCGGGCUCGCUGUCACACCGAGCGUAGUAGCAAUCACCUCGCUCAGGGCGUGCUGCGGGUUCCGGCCGUUAAACAGCCUUACAAAACCCAAGGUUGACCUCGGAUCAGGUAGGAAGACCCGCUGAACUUAAGC
RNAcentral lists this unclassified non-coding RNA (306 nucleotides) under plant metagenome. RNAcentral describes it as "partial contains 5.8S ribosomal RNA, internal transcribed spacer 2, and large subunit ribosomal RNA". The stretch from base 1 to 105 matches the Rfam family "5.8S ribosomal RNA", at positions 50 to 154 of the family's 154-position model. The record is from RNAcentral.